CGUAGGACGAACGCUGGCGGCGUGCCUAACACAUGCAAGUCGAGCGGGACGACACGACGGACAGGAAGUUUCGGACAGACUGGAAGAUGUAUGUUCUAGCGGCGGACGGGUGAGUAACGCGUGAGCAACCUGUCCUCACAGGGGGAUAACACAGCGAAAGUUGUACUAAUACCGCAUAAGACCACGGCGAGACAUCUCGCAGGGGUCAAAGGAGCAAUCCGGUGAAGGGUGGGCUCGCGUCCGAUUAGAUAGUUGGUGAGGUAACGGCCCACCAAGUCGACGAUCGGUAGCCGACCUGAGAGGGUGAUCGGCCACAUUGGGACUGAGACACGGCCCAAACUCCUACGGGAGGCAGCAGUGGGGAAUAUUGGGCAAUGGGGGAAACCCUGAACCCCCAGCAACGCCGCGUGAGGGAAGAAGGUUUUCGGAUCGUAAACCUCUGUCCUAUGUGAAGAGUAAGAGACGGUAGCAUAGGAGGAAGCCCCGGCUAACUACGUGCCAGCCGCAGC
RNAcentral lists this ribosomal RNA (509 nucleotides) under uncultured bacterium. RNAcentral's name for it is "bacterial SSU rRNA". It matches the Rfam family "Bacterial small subunit ribosomal RNA", at positions 23 to 518 of the family's 1533-position model. The record is from RNAcentral.